UGGUGUAGCAUGGGUGUUCAGGGCUGUGUUUUCACUGCAUGGUCUGUUUAAACGCAAAGGGUGGAAGAGUUAAGGCACCAGGUGUUGCUGUGACUGACUUCGCUAAUCAUCUCAGGGGGAGCUGUACUCCGUUUUUCUGCUGGAUUAAUGCACUCUUUCUCUUCACUACGGAAAUGAUUCUGCGAUCAACGACCACUAUUGUCGUCGGUGAAAGUCCAGAUUAAGAAUGGCUUGUUUCACCUGCAUGGAGAGCUCAUUUGACUGCAGGCAAUCUACUGAGAGCCAAAUCUUUCACAUACAUGUUUCUAUGUCUAAAUCUAAGCUGGCUCCAUAGAGACUGUUUAUCGUGUCCCUGAGCCCCUGAGUCUGAGUCUCCUAAGCCACCCAAGCCAGCUGAGCCCAAAGCUGAGCAUAUGUUUUCCAAACAUGUGCAUUUCGAC
Molecule: long non-coding RNA, 440 nt
Organism: Oreochromis aureus
Lineage: Eukaryota; Metazoa; Chordata; Actinopteri; Cichliformes; Cichlidae
Source: Ensembl